Non-coding RNA from Oryza sativa Japonica Group (Japanese rice), 966 nucleotides. The record is from RefSeq and is a predicted model, not a curated record. Lineage: Eukaryota; Viridiplantae; Streptophyta; Magnoliopsida; Poales; Poaceae.
UCGCUUUCUUUUGCUGUUUCGCGCUGCACUGUACUGUAGCCUGCAGCGACCCGGUGCACGCACUGUGACGCUGUGUCCACUGCACACGGGCAGACCGGCCGACGGCACACGCACCACCACCCGCGCGCGCUACAAAGUCACGGGCGUCCUUCCCUCCGUGCGGUUUCGGACGAGCGCCACCACCGGACACCGGAGGAGCAUCGAGGAAUGAGGAAAGAUAUGCGAGGCGGUUCGGCUCUGCCUCUGCUGCUGCUGCUGCUGCUGUGCUGCUCGCUCGCCGCCGUGCAGCCGGCGCGCGCGCUCUUCCACCUGCGCGGCGCGGGCGCGUACGUCGAACAGCUUCGCGGCGGCGGUGGCUACGGCGAGGAGAAGGUACCGAUGACGGUCGUGGUGCCGGACUACUCGCCGCGGCCGGCUCCGUUCGGGGCGCCCGCGCCCGCGCCGGCGAUACCGCCGUUGCCUGGCUCGGACGACGGCGGCGGCGGCGACAUGCCGACGCUGCCGUCUGAGCGGCGGAGCCCGCGCGGCGCGCUUCCCGGAGGCAAUGCGGGUGCUGAAGCCAACGCCGGCGCGCCGUCGCCUGCCCCGCGGCGGCAAGCACGAGCACGGCCUUCAUCAGCAGCAGCCCGGCGGUGCCGCUCCCCGCCGGCGUCACCGACUCCGCCACCGUCCUGCCCAUGCCCACCCCCGGCCAGGAACAGCAGCAGGCCGUGGGGAUGGGCACCCUGCCUCGAGCCAGGACGGUGCAGGUGCAGCUCGCCGUUCCUCUCGUCAUGAUGCUGUUCUUUUCGGCUCUCUGGUAGUAGAGUAGAAGUACAACUAGUAGUAAUAGUUCUUUUUUACUAUUGUAAUCACUAGUGUUUACUGCUUUCUCCUCUGUAGAUUGCUCGAAGUCCUAACCAUGCGUUUGUAAAAACAGUAAUCCCCAUGCAUUCUGUCAGAGACUAGUGCUCUCUGUUCACUGAA